AUUUGCUGAGAUACAUUACUCUAAAACUUUUAUGAAAAGCUAUCUUUCAAAUGAUUCCUCCACGUGAAAAUGCCCUCCACAUAAUAUACCAUGAGUCUCAGAGAGGCACAAGAGAUAGGGAUAUUGCAAAGAGGCUGCAAUAUCCUUCACGACAGGAUCUCAACUCCAAAUGGAAAAAGAGUGUUCUGCAACCUCCACAAUGUAAAAUGAAAGUUAAUGUAUGGGAAAUAAAGCCUCCUGAUUUUAGCUACAAACUGUAUACUUCUUUGAGAAUUCCAGAAAGACCAUCAAAACCAAUUAAGGAAGAAAAAAGGAGGAAAAAAAUCAGUUUUCCAGAAACAAUGCUUCACUUGCCCAGCAUAAGGAAUCAUCCUAAGGAGGUCACAGCUCCUAAAUUUAUAACUACAUUUCCACGUCUGGAUUUACAAAAAGCAAAGUUAAUGUUUGUGAAGAGUGGACAAUAUCCAAGGGGUGUAUAUGUCAAUCCCAAACCACAUGACUUUCGACAGUACCAACCUGGUUUACCAAACUUUGAGACAACUUAUGAAAAGGACCCCUUUGGAUUAAAAUUUAAAUCACAACACUUAAGUACAGUACAUGGGUACCAGUUACCGAAAGAUAAUAAACAGAAGAAUACUACAGAAAGAUUUAUCACCCACAAGCAUCGUGAAUGCACCUGGGAUUCAAAACUAAUUUUGACGAAAGCCCCAUGGCCUGUUAGAUCUGCUUCAUAUACAAGACAUAGAAGGCAGCGUGAUGCAUACAGUGCAUUUAUGGAUCGUGUGGAAGAAAAGUUUACAAAGAUAUGCAAGAGCAGAUAGCUGAUGGACCAAAACAGCAUAGGGCUUCCUGAACUCUGGCCUGAAUGUUCAUCUCCCGUGCAUUUCCCAGUGAGAACAUUGAUGAAUUCUGGCACCUUCCUGGAUUCUACAGAAAUCUGCACUCUCCCAGAGACAUGAGAAAGUGCUAAAACAACAAAUGAAAGUUGCAUAAUUUGAAAUUCCCUUGUUACCACAUGGAUCAGAAUCCAAUCAUCAGGCUUUUGAUUUAGUUUGUGAAAGUUAGAUCUUGCAACUAUGAGUGGAAAUGCUGAUAAUGUGCUUUCUGUUAAUGUCCAAAGUUAAAGAGAUGCUCUAGUCUCAGUUUUUUCUAAUACACUUUAAGAAGCUUCUCUGAGACACUCAAGUAUAUCAAAAGAGAGAAGAUCUCCAAGUAACAGAAAUACUAAAUGUCCUUCUUAAAGAACACCAGGCUUGGAGAAUUUAUAGUUCCAACUAGAAGGAAAGGUCUGUCUUUUAACAUGUUAAAAUAAUUUUCUAAAUUUUUGUUUAAAUAUUUUGAGGGAAAGAAAACAAAUGACGUGAAACUUGUUUCUGAUCAAGAUUUGAUGAUUAUAAUUGAAAAUUAAUAAAAGGGGAGGGUAGGAUUUAAUGCUAUUGCCAGUUUUAUUGAAUGGAUUAUCCUAUCACCUUUCCAAUUUCACUAUGAAAACUACUGAAAUAAAGGCAAGUACGUAUUUAAUAGCUCUGUUGACAUAAGCAACAUUAAGUGGAAAGAUGAGGCAAUGAAAUUAAAUCAUUUCCCAAAGGAUAUUUUGC
Molecule: long non-coding RNA, 1598 nt
Filed under: Pan troglodytes (chimpanzee)
Lineage: Eukaryota; Metazoa; Chordata; Mammalia; Primates; Hominidae
Description: long non-coding RNA NONPTRT015487
Source: RNAcentral